RNAcentral lists this long non-coding RNA (440 nucleotides) under Capsicum annuum. RNAcentral's name for it is "long non-coding RNA (CANN_LNC009372)". Lineage: Eukaryota; Viridiplantae; Streptophyta; Magnoliopsida; Solanales; Solanaceae. The record is from RNAcentral.
UCCUAAUAUGCGCUCCCACCCCCUAACCCUCUAUCCUAAUCUGCGUACUCCACACCUUCAUAUCAAGGGUCAUGUCCUCUAUAAACUGUAACUGCUCUAUAUCAUGCCUAAUCAUCUCCCUCUAAUAUUUCACUUCUUCGGCCUACCUCUACAGUCUACCCCGCCUAAAAUCAUCCAUAGUCAAGGUCUCACACCUCCGCACUAGCUCAUCAAAACCCCUCCUCAUCACGUGCCCGAACCAACGUAGUCUCACUUCUCGCAUCUUGUCCUCCACCGAAAUAACUCACACCUUCUCCCGAAUAAUCUCAUUCCUCACCCUAUCUUUCCUGGUAUGGCCACAUAUUCACUACCCUAUCUUUCCUGGUAUGGCCACAUAUCCAUCACAACGUCCUCAUCUCCACCACCUUUAACUUUUAGAUGUGAGAGUUUAUAACUGAGCA